Non-coding RNA from Pelobates cultripes (western spadefoot toad), 750 nucleotides. NCBI's taxonomy places the organism in Eukaryota, Metazoa, Chordata, Amphibia, Anura, Pelobatidae. The record is from the annotation of a GenBank genome assembly.
CAGACUCUUUCUGGCAGGGUUCUCCAGGUUUCCACAAUGUCUGCCUUUCACCUGGCCCCUCAGUAUGCUCUGCUGGGCUUGGCUGAAGUCAUGGUCAUUCCUUCCUGUAAGUGUUAUGGGGAUCCUCAGGCUAGUAUUGCAUCAGCACAAUGAAGGUAGCAUGUCUAUAUUAGUAAGUUAAGUAUUUGUAGCUUUUUCUCCUUAAUGUCCUAAUUGAGCCAGAAAAUUUGCAUGUAGAUUCCUAGCAAUCCGUUAACACAAAGUCAGAAUCAGUGGGAAAAUGGAAAAUUCCCCUAAAUACAACUGAUGGAGAGUGGACAAUCUCAAUCAAUAACUUUAAUAUGCUUUCUAAUGUUCCCUAAUAAUAAUCUAAUAAUGACAAUACAUAAUUGAUGUCUAGAUUAUCUUGAUGUGAACCUCACUGGAUAACUCAAAGUCCAGAUAUGGGUGAAGCAAUUGGUGUGACUGGUUAGACUGAUGGCCAUCAUCUGCAAAGCUCUAUAGGUAGAGCUGGUAGCCAAAAAAAAAAAUCCAUCAGUAGACUUUCACCAGCUAUUACUACUCGCUGCAUGUAGACUAUACUGUCAAACCAUAUAAACAAAUAUAAACAAACCCAGUAAAACGUCAUUAAAUAUGUUUCAGGCUCUGUCAUAACAUUCAGACUUGCUCCAAGUCGAAUUCGAGGCAUCUCGAUGAACUUCCUGACACUUUUCAAUGCAGUGGGCUGUUUCACAGGAGCUUUGAUGGUUG